AAAAAAAUUUGAAAAAAAACACUCUCAACCUUCCCCCUUUUCUCCAGGCUCCGGCCUAAGGCCCGGUCAUCGACCACCGCAUCGACUACCGAUCGCCGGUGCCGGCGCUACCGUAUACGGUGGUUGAGAAACUAAAAGGUUUCUCUUUUUUUUUCGAUGCAAACCUUGGGCCUCCAAACACUCCGGCAAUGAUGAAAUAGGUAAAAAAUGCCUUUUUUAUUUUUAUAUAUUAUUUCAAAAUAAAAAAUGAAAUAAAACAAAAAUAAAGACGAAAAUGUCACCUUAACACUUUUAUUUUCUAAAUAAGUGUCUUUCCUUCUCCUUUUUUAUUGAUUUCCGAAUCCCUUUUUCCUCCCCCCUUUUUUUUACAAUAUUUCAAUGGCUUUUAUAGCUGAAACAAAACAGAAAAAAUAGGUAUAAAAGGAAAUUAAUUCUUUGCUUCCAUUUUGCUAUUAGUCUCUUUCUUUUCGCUGCUUGUUUCCUUGUCUGUUGCAUUAUAGGUUCAUGGCCAACCUAGAGAUGCGCGGUGGUGUAGCACGUGCGGGAAGAGGCGCGCCUGGGCUACUGUUGCGGCGCGAUGGCUGGAGCUUGCUAGGGUUUUCGAUUUUGUUUCGGUUUUGGGCCAGAUUGUAUUGGGUCUCUAUUUAGUGGGGAUUUGGGUAUGUAAUUUUGGGCUUUUAAAUUGGGUCAAUGUGAUGGACAUUUGGACCUUUAUUUUAUUUAUUUUUUUGUUGGUUUUAUUCAUUUUUGGUGUUUACUGGACCGGGCAAUAAUUGGGUAUUACAAUAGUAAUGGUUGAUUUUGAGUGAAACAUUUGGUAUGAAAUUUAAGGAUGCAUAUUAUGUUUUAA
Molecule: long non-coding RNA, 850 nt
Filed under: Gossypium barbadense (sea-island cotton)
Lineage: Eukaryota; Viridiplantae; Streptophyta; Magnoliopsida; Malvales; Malvaceae
Description: long non-coding RNA (GBAR_LNC014796)
Source: RNAcentral